AUUGAACGCUGGCGGCAUGCCUUACACAUGCAAGUCGAACGGCAGCACGGGUGCUUGCACCUGGUGGCGAGUGGCGAACGGGUGAGUAAUACAUCGGAACAUGUCCUGUAGUGGGGGAUAGCCCGGCGAAAGCCGGAUUAAUACCGCAUACGAUCUACGGAUGAAAGCGGGGGACCUUCGGGCCUCGCGCUAUAGGGUUGGCCGAUGGCUGAUUAGCUAGUUGGUGGGGUAAAGGCCUACCAAGGCGACGAUCAGUAGCUGGUCUGAGAGGACGACCAGCCAAACUGGGACUGAGAAACGGCCCAGACUCCUACGGGAGGCAGCAGUGGGGAAUUUUGGACAAUGGGCGAAAGCCUGAUCCAGCAAUGCCGCGUGUGUGAAGAAGGCCUUCGGGUUGUAAAGCACUUUUGUCCGGAAAGAAAUCCUUGGCCCUAAUACGGUCGGGGGAUGACGGUACCGGAAGAAUAAGCACCGGCUAACUACGUG
Molecule: ribosomal RNA, 486 nt
Filed under: uncultured bacterium
Lineage: Bacteria
Description: partial 16S ribosomal RNA
Rfam family: Bacterial small subunit ribosomal RNA
Source: RNAcentral